UACGAAGGGGGCUAGCGUUGUUCGGAAUUACUGGGCGUAAAGCGCGCGUAGGCGGUGAUCUUUGUCAGAGGUGAAAUCCCGAGGCUCAACUUCGGAAUUGCCUUUGAAACGGGAUCGCUUGAGUCCGAGAGAGGAUGGCGGAAUUCCUAGUGUAGAGGUGAAAUUCGUAGAUAUUAGGAAGAACACCGGUGGCGAAGGCGGCUCACUGGCCCGGUACUGACGCUGAGGUGCGAAAGCGUGGGGAGCAAACAGG
Molecule: ribosomal RNA, 253 nt
Filed under: uncultured bacterium
Lineage: Bacteria
Description: partial 16S ribosomal RNA
Rfam family: Bacterial small subunit ribosomal RNA
Source: RNAcentral